Molecule: long non-coding RNA, 1048 nt
Filed under: Equus caballus (horse)
Lineage: Eukaryota; Metazoa; Chordata; Mammalia; Perissodactyla; Equidae
Description: lncRNA (ENSECAG00000050415.1)
Source: RNAcentral
AGAUAAAAGCAUUGCUGUUCCAAGUAAAGCCUUUUAUAGAUAGAAGAGCAGUUCUGUAUUUCUCACCUUGAGAUGUGGCUUUGCUUCUGAGGAAUAAAAGAGUUCCUUAAAAUUGUUUGAAAUCCACUGAUAAAAUAGAAAGAAGAAAAAUUCUGUUUUAGUUAUACAAGCUCUGUCACUGAGUAGUUUUGAAAGCUUGGGCAGACUAAUUAAUCACUGAGUUUCAGUUUCAUCACCUGUUAUAGGAGAAUUUCUCAUCAAAUCAUAAUUGUUAAUUAACUUCCUUGUACAAUCUUAAUAUCCCCACCAUCUUGUUCCUUCACUGUUCUAAAGUUGGAAAUAUAACAAUUCUGAGUCAAUGUGAAGAUCUAUUUUAUUUUAUCUGGAAAUGUGGCAGAUAUCCAAUGUUUCCUCUUUAUCAUCACUGAAACUCUUUUAUUAUGUUUCAGCCCUCUUUUUCUUCGGUUGAACCUCUUUAUUGGCCUCGUUCUCUCCAGUGGAUUUUCACCCUACUUUCAAACAUGCUUCAAAAUCUAUCUGUAAACCACUGUAAGAGUUACCUGUAUGAAGUAGAUUUUGUAUUAUGUUUCCUUCUUGCUUAAACACUUAAAUGAUUUCCUGUCCCUUAUAAGGAUUCACUUUUUGCUCUAACAAAAGGGUUCAUUGGAAAAAGAAAGCAUCAUUGAGCUACUAGUCAACUCUUUGGAGCUCUCUUAUCCUGAAAUACAUGUGGCUUCCUCCUUAGAAAAUAUCAACUUUCAUUGAGUGACAGUCCAUCCAUAUGUAUCAUCAAACAUGAGAGACAAGAUUGCCAAUGGACCUCAGACUAGAGCAAUGGCCACUGUUGUGAAGGUCAGGGAAAGAAAAUUAUAUCCAGUGGUUAGUGAGGUAAGGAUGGAUGAAAAUGUUUCUUUGUUGUGGCAUCAACUCCUUUGCUAAUUAUGAAGAAUGGCUAUUAAAAAGUAGGCACCAAAAAAAUAAGCAUAUCUUUAGGGACAAUGCUUAAAUAAGCUUGGGGUCUUAGCCAUGGGGUACAAUCACUUCUUUG